UUAGCAAGGCGGGUGAUCGCUCCCGAAAGGGGGAGGAAAGUCCGAACACUUCCUUAAAUUUUAAGGAGAAAGGUAGCGGGUAAUUCCCGUCCACGGCAACGUGCGAGGUGCGAACAGUGACGAUACCCCCGCUUAGCGGGGGAGUGAAACGGCUAAAUCCUUACCCAAGUGCAAGAACAAAGCCUAUAUCAUUGUUUCAUCAGUGAAAAGGGUUAAAAGUAGUUCGCUUGACUCUGGCAGUAAUGUCAUGAGCAGACAGAUGAUCACAUAAUACAGAAUUCGGCUUACAGCCUUGCUAAGGCC
This 303-nucleotide RNase P RNA is filed under the name Candidatus Staskawiczbacteria bacterium RIFOXYB1_FULL_37_44. RNAcentral describes it as "RNase P RNA component class A". It matches the Rfam family "Bacterial RNase P class A". Rfam says of the family: Ribonuclease P (RNase P) is a ubiquitous endoribonuclease, found in archaea, bacteria and eukarya as well as chloroplasts and mitochondria. The record is from RNAcentral. RNAcentral also lists the same sequence under 4 other names. Lineage: Bacteria; Candidatus Staskawicziibacteriota.